UUGAAGGUUGGGUAACACUAACUGGAGGACCGAACCGACUAAUGUUGAAAAAUUAGCGGAUGACCUGUGGCUGGGGGUGAAAGGCCAAUCAAACCGGGAGAUAGCUGGUUCUCCCCGAAAGCUAUUUAGGUAGCGCCUCGUGAAUUCAUCUCCGGGGGUAGAGCACUGUUUCGGCUAGGGGGCCAUCCCGGCUUACCAACCCGAUGCAAACUGCGAAUACCGGAGAAUGUUAUCACGGGAGACACACGGCGGGUGCUAACGUCCGUCGUGAAGAGGGAAACAACCCAGACCGCCAGCUAAGGUCCCAAAGUCAUGGUUAAGUGGGAAACGAUGUGGGAAGGCCCAGACAGCCAGGAUGUUGGCUUAGAAGCAGCCAUCAUUUAAAGAAAGCGUAAUAGCUCACUGGUCGAGUCGGCCUGCGCGGAAGAUGUAACGGGGCUAAACCAUGCA
This 450-nucleotide ribosomal RNA is filed under the name Salmonella enterica. Its description in RNAcentral is "partial 23S ribosomal RNA". It matches the Rfam family "Bacterial large subunit ribosomal RNA", at positions 745 to 1193 of the family's 2925-position model. The record is from RNAcentral. Lineage: Bacteria; Pseudomonadati; Pseudomonadota; Gammaproteobacteria; Enterobacterales; Enterobacteriaceae.